This 223-nucleotide long non-coding RNA is filed under the name Panax ginseng (ginseng). RNAcentral's name for it is "long non-coding RNA (PGIN_LNC000351)". The record is from RNAcentral. Lineage: Eukaryota; Viridiplantae; Streptophyta; Magnoliopsida; Apiales; Araliaceae.
UUAUCAAAUUCUAAACACAGAAUUCCAGAAAUUCUGUGUAAAGUGACUGACCCGAGUUGGUUUUCCAGUUUUGACUUGGCUACUUUGAAUGGUCAAAACUCUUUGUUCCGAAGUCAGAAUUAUUCCGUUCCGGAUUCUAUGUAAAGUUUAUUAAGUGUACUAUAACAUACAAAAGCCCAGAAUUUUCUAAACAAUCUAGCUAAUCCUGAAUUUUCAUUUUUGG